Molecule: ribosomal RNA, 743 nt
Filed under: Vibrio sp.
Lineage: Bacteria; Pseudomonadati; Pseudomonadota; Gammaproteobacteria; Vibrionales; Vibrionaceae
Description: bacterial SSU rRNA
Rfam family: Bacterial small subunit ribosomal RNA
Source: RNAcentral
UGAUCCUGGCUCAGAUUGAACGCUGGCGGCAGGCCUAACACAUGCAAGUCGAGCGGAAACGAGUUGUCUGAACCUUCGGGGAACGAUAACGGCGUCGAGCGGCGGACGGGUGAGUAAUGCCUGGGAACUUGCCCUGAUGUGGGGGAUAACCAUUGGAAACGAUGGCUAAUACCGCAUAAUAGCUUCGGCUCAAAGAGGGGGACCUUCGGGCCUCUCGCGUCAGGAUAUGCCCAGGUGGGAUUAGCUAGUUGGUGAGGUAAUGGCUCACCAAGGCGACGAUCCCUAGCUGGUCUGAGAGGAUGAUCAGCCACACUGGAACUGAGACACGGUCCAGACUCCUACGGGAGGCAGCAGUGGGGAAUAUUGCACAAUGGGCGCAAGCCUGAUGCAGCCAUGCCGCGUGUAUGAAGAAGGCCUUCGGGUUGUAAAGUACUUUCAGCAGUGAGGAAGGUGGUAGUGUUAAUAGCACUAUCAUUUGACGUUAGCUGCAGAAGAAGCACCGGCUAACUCCGUGCCAGCAGCCGCGGUAAUACGGAGGGUGCGAGCGUUAAUCGGAAUUACUGGGCGUAAAGCGCAUGCAGGUGGUUUGUUAAGUCAGAUGUGAAAGCCCGGGGCUCAACCUCGGAAUAGCAUUUGAAACUGGCAGACUAGAGUACUGUAGAGGGGGGUAGAAUUUCAGGUGUAGCGGUGAAAUGCGUAGAGAUCUGAAGGAAUACCGGUGGCGAAGGCGGCCCCCUGGACAG